AACCUGCGGAAGGAUCAUUACUGUGAUUUAGUACUACACUGCGUGAGCGGAACGAAAACAACAACACCUAAAAUGUGGAAUAUAGCAUAUAGUCGACAAGAGAAAUCUACGAAAAACAAACAAAACUUUCAACAACGGAUCUCUUGGUUCUCGCAUCGAUGAAGAGCGCAGCGAAAUGCGAUACCUAGUGUGAAUUGCAGCCAUCGUGAAUCAUCGAGUUCUUGAACGCACAUUGCGCCCCUCGGCAUUCCGGGGGGCAUGCCUGUUUGAGCGUCGUUUCCAUCUUGCGCGUGCGCAGAGUUGGGGGAGCGGAGCGGACGACGUGUAAAGAGCGUCGGAGCUGCGACUCGCCUGAAAGGGAGCGAAGCUGGCCGAGCGAACUAGACUUUUUUUCAGGGACGCUUGGCGGCCGAGAGCGAGUGUUGCGAGACAACAAAAAGCUCGACCUCAAAUCAGGUAGGAAUACCCGCUGAACUUAAGCAUAUCAAUAAG
RNAcentral lists this ribosomal RNA (492 nucleotides) under Pichia kudriavzevii. RNAcentral's name for it is "eukaryotic LSU rRNA". The stretch from base 124 to 276 matches the Rfam family "5.8S ribosomal RNA". Lineage: Eukaryota; Fungi; Ascomycota; Pichiomycetes; Pichiales; Pichiaceae. The record is from RNAcentral.